CCCAGACUCCUACGGGAGGCAGCAGUGGGGAAUAUUGCACAAUGGGGGGAACCCUGAUGCAGCGACGCCGCGUGAGUGAAGAAGUAUUUCGGUAUGUAAAGCUCUAUCAGCAGGGAAGAAAAUGACGGUACCUGACUAAGAAGCCCCGGCUAACUACGUGCCAGCAGCCGCGGUAAUACGUAGGGGGCAAGCGUUAUCCGGAUUUACUGGGUGUAAAGGGAGCGCAGACGGCUGUGCAGGUCUGGAGUGAAAGGCGGGGGCCCAACCCCCGGACUGCUCUGGAAACUGUAAAGCUGGAGUGCAGGAGAGGUAAGCGGAAUUCCUAGUGUAGCGGUGAAACGCGUAGAUAUUAGGAGGAACACCAGUGGCGAAGGCGGCUUACUGGACUGCAACUGACGUUGAGGCUCGAAAGCGUGGGGAGCAAACAGGAUUAGAUACCCGCGUA
Molecule: ribosomal RNA, 445 nt
Filed under: uncultured bacterium
Lineage: Bacteria
Description: bacterial SSU rRNA
Rfam family: Bacterial small subunit ribosomal RNA
Source: RNAcentral